GUUAUAAGACGAGUCGGGAAAGUUUUUUCGCUAAGAGAUCAGUCUAUGUCCUAUCAGCUAGUUGGUGAGGUAAUGGCUCACCAAGGCUAUGACGGGUAUCUGGUUUGAGAGGAUGAUCAGACACACUGGAACUGAGACACGGUCCAGACUCCUACGGGAGGCAGCAGUGAGGAAUAUUGCACAAUGGAGGAAACUCUGAUGCAGCAACGCCGCGUGGAGGAUGACGCAUUUCGGUGUGUAAACUCCUUUUAAGAGGGAAGAUAAUGACGGUACCUCUUGAAUAAGCACCGGCUAACUCCGUGCCAGCAGCCGCGGUAAUACGGAGGGUGCAAGCGUUACUCGGAAUCACUGGGCGUAAAGGGUGCGUAGGCUGGCUUCUAAGUCAGAUGUGAAAUCCAAUGGCUUAACCACUGAACUGCAUUUGAAACUGGGAGCCUAGAGUUCAGAAGGGGCAGAUGGAAUUAGUGGUGUAGGGGUAAAAUCCGUAGAUAUCACUAGGAAUAUCAAAAGCGA
This 513-nucleotide ribosomal RNA is filed under the name uncultured Campylobacterota bacterium. RNAcentral describes it as "bacterial SSU rRNA". It matches the Rfam family "Bacterial small subunit ribosomal RNA", at positions 185 to 718 of the family's 1533-position model. Lineage: Bacteria; Pseudomonadati; Campylobacterota. The record is from RNAcentral.